RNAcentral lists this non-coding RNA (293 nucleotides) under human gut metagenome. The record is from RNAcentral.
CGAGCUGACGGGAAUAACGGUUUGAACGGAUCCUUUGCCGAACGAACGCGUGCCGACGACGACGGCGCGUUUAUGGUCUUGCAAAGCGCCGGCAACGAUUUCGGCUGCCGAAGCCGAACCUUCGUUAAUUAAAACAACGAUGGGGAUGUCUUUGAUGAUAUCGCCUUUUGUCGCACUGUAUCUUUGAAUUUCUUCGGGGCGGCGGGGGCGCGUGGAAACGAUUUCCCCUUCGUCUAAAAACAAGUCCGUAACGGAAACGGCCUGAUCCAAAAGACCGCCCGGAUUGUUACGCA